AUGGUAGAAGCAGAUCGUCCUGGCAAGCAUUUCAUUGGUGGCCUAAAUAGGGAAAACAAUGAAAAGAUGUUUAAAGCAGUAUUUGCGAAACAUGGUCCCAUAUCAGAAGUUCUUUUGAUAAAGGAUCGAACCAGCAAAUCCAGAGGCUUUGCAUUUACUACUUUUGAGAACACUGCAGAUGCUAAGAAUGCUGCCAAACAUAUGAUUGGAAAGCCUUUGGAUGGAAAAGCAAUAAAAGUAGAACAAGCCAAGAAACCAUCUUUUCAAAGUGGUGGUAGGCAGAGACCACCAGCUUCCUCAAGAAGCAGAAGCCCUUCAGGAUGUCUGAGAUCUGCAAGAGGAAGUAGUGGAGGAACAAGAGGAUGGCAUCCCUCACAUGAAGGACGCUUGGAUGAUGAUGCAUACUCUCUUGAUCUCAACACGAGUUCUUCUAGGCAACCCAUUCUAGUUAAAAGAGGUCCCUCUUCAAAAAGUGGAGGUCCUCCUCCUAAAAAGUCUGCUCCUUCUGCUGUGGUAAGAAGCAAUAAUUGGAUGAGAGGCCAAGGUCCCAUAUCAUGUGGAAGAGAGAAUUAUGGAGGUCCUACACGUAGACGGCCAAUCUCUUCCUGGAGAAAUGACCACAUGUCUCUAAGAGACGAUGGUUAUGCAACUAAGGAGAGAAAUCAUCCAAGCUCCUGAGAAACUAGGACACCACCUAGAGACUAUGCAUACCAUGAUUAUGGUCAUUCUAGCUGGGAUGAACAUUCUUCUAGAGGAUAUAGAAAUCAUCCACGCUCCUGAGAAACCAGGGAUUAUGCUCCACCACCUAGAGACUAUGCAUACUGUGAUUAUGGUCGUUCUAGUCGGGAUGAACAUUCCUCUGUAGGAUAUAGUGAUCCUGUUGGCUAUGGUGAGACCAGUGGUAGAGAUCAUUCUGAACAUACAAGUGGAAGUUCUUACAGAGAUGCAUUUCAGGGAUAUGGGACCUCUCAUGGUGCACCACCUGCACGAGGGCCUCGGAUGUCUUAUGGUGGAAGCAGCCGCCCUGAUUAUAACAAUACACUAGAUAGAUAUGGCAGAAGUCAGGAGAGUUACUCAAGAAGCUGCGGUGAUUUUUAUUUUUGUGGUCAUGAGCACGUUGGCAGAAAAGACCAAAGGAAUCCACUUUCUCUGGAUAGGGUGCACCCUGCUCGUCGUGAAGCAUAUGGUAGCUCAAGUUAUGUGGCAUCUACAAUAGAUGGUCGGGAAAGUAGAUCUGAAAAAGGAGACUGAAGCAGAUAUUAA
This 1263-nucleotide long non-coding RNA is filed under the name Homo sapiens (human). Its description in RNAcentral is "non-protein coding lnc-RBMY1J-5:2". Lineage: Eukaryota; Metazoa; Chordata; Mammalia; Primates; Hominidae. The record is from RNAcentral.